UUUCCGAAUGGGGAAACCCAGUGUGAUUCGUCACACUAUCAUUAACUGAAUCCAUAGGUUAAUGAGGCGAACCGGGGGAACUGAAACAUCUAAGUACCCCGAGGAAAAGAAAUCAACCGAGAUUCCCCCAGUAGCGGCGAGCGAACGGGGAGCAGCCCAGAGCCUGAAUCAGUGUGUGUGUUAGUGGAAGCGUCUGGAAAGGCGCGCGAUACAGGGUGACAGCCCCGUACACAAAAAUGCACAUGCUGUGAGCUCGAUGAGUAGGGCGGGACACGUGGUAUCCUGUCUGAAUAUGGGGGGACCAUCCUCCAAGGCUAAAUACUCCUGACUGACCGAUAGUGAACCAGUACCGUGAGGGAAAGGCGAAAAGAACCCCGGCGAGGGGAGUGAAAAAGAACCUGAAACCGUGUACGUACAAGCAGUGGGAGCACAGAGCAAUCUGUGUGACUGCGUACCUUUUGUAUAAUGGGUCAGCGACUUAUAUUCUGUAGCAAGGUUAACCGAAUAGGGGAGCCGAAGGGAAACCGAGUCUUAACUGGGCGUUAAGUUGCAGGGUAUAGACCCGAAACCCGGUGAUCUAGCCAUGGGCAGGUUGAAGGUUGGGUAACACUAACUGGAGGACCGAACCGACUAAUGUUGAAAAAUUAGCGGAUGACUUGUGGCUGGGGGUGAAAGGCCAAUCAAACCGGGAGAUAGCUGGUUCUCCCCGAAAGCUAUUUAGGUAGCGCCUCGUGAAUUCAUCUCCGGGGGUAGAGCACUGUUUCGGCAAGGGGGUCAUCCCGACUUACCAACCCGAUGCAAACUGCGAAUACCGGAGAAUGUUAUCACGGGAGACACACGGCGGGUGCUAACGUCCGUCGUGAAGAGGGAAACAACCCAGACCGCCAGCUAAGGUCCCAAAGUCAUGGUUAAGUGGGAAACGAUGUGGGAAGGCCCAGACAGCCAGGAUGUUGGCUUAGAAGCAGCCAUCAUUUAAAGAAAGCGUAAUAGCUCACUGGUCGAGUCGGCCUGCGCGGAAGAUGUAACGGGGCUAAACCAUGCACCGAAGCUGCGGCAGCGACGCUUAUGCGUUGUUGGGUAGGGGAGCGUUCUGUAAGCCUGCGAAGGUGUGCUGUGAGGCAUGCUGGAGGUAUCAGAAGUGCGAAUGCUGACAUAAGUAACGAUAAAGCGGGUGAAAAGCCCGCUCGCCGGAAGACCAAGGGUUCCUGUCCAACGUUAAUCGGGGCAGGGUGAGUCGACCCCUAAGGCGAGGCCGAAAGGCGUAGUCGAUGGGAAACAGGUUAAUAUUCCUGUACUUGGUGUUACUGCGAAGGGGGGACGGAGAAGGCUAUGUUGGCCGGGCGACGGUUGUCCCGGUUUAAGCGUGUAGGCUGGUUUUCCAGGCAAAUCCGGAAAAUCAAGGCUGAGGCGUGAUGACGAGGCACUACGGUGCUGAAGCAACAAAUGCCCUGCUUCCAGGAAAAGCCUCUAAGCAUCAGGUAACAUCAAAUCGUACCCCAAACCGACACAGGUGGUCAGGUAGAGAAUACCAAGGCGCUUGAGAGAACUCGGGUGAAGGAACUAGGCAAAAUGGUGCCGUAACUUCGGGAGAAGGCACGCUGAUAUGUAGGUGAAGUCCCUCGCGGAUGGAGCUGAAAUCAGUCGAAGAUACCAGCUGGCUGCAACUGUUUAUUAAAAACACAGCACUGUGCAAACACGAAAGUGGACGUAUACGGUGUGACGCCUGCCCGGUGCCGGAAGGUUAAUUGAUGGGGUCAGCGCAAGCGAAGCUCUUGAUCGAAGCCCCGGUAAACGGCGGCCGUAACUAUAACGGUCCUAAGGUAGCGAAAUUCCUUGUCGGGUAAGUUCCGACCUGCACGAAUGGCGUAAUGAUGGCCAGGCUGUCUCCACCCGAGACUCAGUGAAAUUGAACUCGCUGUGAAGAUGCAGUGUACCCGCGGCAAGACGGAAAGACCCCGUGAACCUUUACUAUAGCUUGACACUGAACAUUGAGCCUUGAUGUGUAGGAUAGGUGGGAGGCUUUGAAGUGUGG
RNAcentral lists this ribosomal RNA (2032 nucleotides) under Escherichia coli. RNAcentral's name for it is "partial 23S ribosomal RNA". It matches the Rfam family "Bacterial large subunit ribosomal RNA", at positions 111 to 2167 of the family's 2925-position model. Lineage: Bacteria; Pseudomonadati; Pseudomonadota; Gammaproteobacteria; Enterobacterales; Enterobacteriaceae. The record is from RNAcentral.